UUCCAGCUGCCAAGAAAAGCCGCUAUUGUUUGUACUGUACCCGUACCGUAAACCGACACAGGUAGGUGAGGAGAGAAUCCUAAGGCCGACGGGAGAAGCAUUGUUAAGGAACUCGGCAAAAUGACUCCGUAACUUCGGGAGAAGGAGUGCCAGUGAGAGCUGGCCGCAGAGAAUUGGCCCAAGCAACUGUUUAGCAAAAACACAGGUCUAUGCAAAACCGUAAGGUGAAGUAUAUGGGCUGACGCCUGCCCGGUGCUGGAAGGUUAAGGGGAGAGGUUAGCGCAAGCGAAGCUUUGAACUUAAGCCCCAGUAAACGGCGGCCGUAACAAUAACGGUCCUAAGGUAGCGAAAUUCCUUGUCGGGUAAGUUCCGACCCGCACGAAAGGCGUAAUGAUUUGGGCACUGUCUCAACAAUGCACCCGGUGAAAUUGAAAUACCAGUGAAGAUGCUGGUUACCUGCGCCAGGACGGAAAGACCCCAUGGAGCUUUACUCCAGCUUGAUACUGGGAUUCGAUAUUGUAUGUACAGGAUAGGUGGGAGGCGAAGAAGCAUUGACGCCAGUUGAUGCGGAGCCGCUGUUGGGAUACCACCCUUGCAGUAUUGGAUUUCUAACCAGCAGCCGUGACCCGGCUGGGGGACAAUGUCAGGUGGGGAGUUUGACUGGGGCGGUCGCCUCCGAAAGGGUAUCGGAGGCGCUCAAAGGUUCCCUCAGAAUGGUUGGAAACCAUUCGAAGAGUGCAAAGGCAGAAGGGAGCUUGACUGCGACACCGACGGGUGGAGCAGGUACGAAAGUAGGACUUAGUGAUCCGGUGGUAUAAAGUGGGAUUGCCAUCGCUCAACGGAUAAAAGCUACCCUGGGAUAACAGGCUUAUCACUCCCAAGAGUUCACAUCGACGGAGUGGUUUGGCACCUCGAUGUCGGCUCAUCGCAUCCUGGGGCUGAAGUAGGUCCCAAGGGUUGGGCUGUUCGCCCAUUAAAGCGGUACGCGAGCUGGGUUCAGAACGUCGUGAGACAGUUCGGUCCCUAUCCGGCGUGGGCGUAGGAUAUUUGAGAGGAGCUGGCCUUAGUACGAGAGGACCGGGCUGGACUGACCGCUGGUGUAUCUGUUGUUCCGCCAGGAGCAUGGCAGAGUAGCCAAGUCAGGAAGGGAUAAACGCUGAAGGCAUCUAAGCGUGAAGCCCCCCUCAAGAUGAGAUAUCCCAACGCAAGUUGUAAGACCCCUUGAAGACGACAAGGUAGAUAGGGCAGAGGUGGAAGUGCAGUAAUGCAUGGAGCUGACUGUUACUAAUCGGUCGAGGGCAUAACC
This 1306-nucleotide ribosomal RNA is filed under the name metagenome. RNAcentral's name for it is "bacterial LSU rRNA". It matches the Rfam family "Bacterial large subunit ribosomal RNA", at positions 1599 to 2925 of the family's 2925-position model. The record is from RNAcentral.